AGAAGAGCUGGGCUAGGGAGCUGUGCGUGCAGGCAGCAUCUCCCUAAUCUCCCUCCUUUGAUAACUUCUGUCUUUCCGUGCAUACGCAAGAACCUAGCUCAGCCGCCAGCAUCUCUUCCCGGGCUGAGCCGUCGCCCUGCAGCUAAUGCCUGACAGCUCUGUUUAUGUCUCCCCAUAAUUCUCCAGUUUUAUGUUUUUUUUUCGGGGCCAUUAAGCUCCCAGCCACAAGCUCCUUCCCCUGCCCCCGCCUGUCUUUGUCCUUGAGGCCUGGCCGCCCCACCGCCCUGUGGGAGAAGGGCUGCCCUCCCCCAGCAGGUGGACGGAGGGCUGAGUGCUCACUCUGGACAUCCCUGUCCCAGUCCUGUGGCUUCUCAUCACAGGGCUCGUCCCGCCCAUCCCCAGGGACACAGGACACCAGGGUGCCAGGGAGCCUGGUGAGGCCCAGUCUCCCUCAGACUCUGGCUUCCUUUCCUGAGUGGGCUCUGCUCUUCCCCCAGCCUCGGCCACUCCUGAGGGCAAAGUCCCCUGCCUCAACCCCCCUCUGCAGCUCCACAUCCCCAGAUUCAGCGCGCCCAUGUCACCCCGAGGCCCCCCUCCGUACACACCUCAUCCUCUGCCCCGUCUCCUCAUGGUCCAUCUGUGAGGAGGCCCCUCAGAGUCCUCAGGGCCCCCCUCCUGUCCCCAUGACCACAGCCCAGGUCUGGCCACGGGUCAGACUGGGUUCCCAGUUCCCAGCCUCCCUACCACAUGGCCUCUCACAAGCUCAGCCCCAGGCACUCCCUUGCUCUACAGCCUUCACUGGCUCCCCAUUACUUAGUCCCCGUCCUCAGUGUGCCACUCCCACUGCCCUGGCCUCCUGCAUGAGACCAGCGGGGGAUGACCCUCGCCAGGCCCGCUCAGCCCUCCCAGGGCGUCCACCCCCACUUCCACAGGCCAAACCCAGGGCAGGAGGACUUCCUCAGCAAGAAGCAGCCCUUCCCUUGCCUCUGGGUGCCCACAAUGCCCUCACGUGGCCCCUGUGGGUCAUGGAGUCCCUGGUUGCCGCAGUUCGGACGCCUGGCUCCCUGAGUGCCUGGGGCAGGCAGCUGCCACUCAAGAGCCGGCUUCCCCCACCGCUGUGA
RNAcentral lists this long non-coding RNA (1121 nucleotides) under Capra hircus (goat). RNAcentral's name for it is "lncRNA (ENSCHIG00010021734.1)". The record is from RNAcentral. Lineage: Eukaryota; Metazoa; Chordata; Mammalia; Artiodactyla; Bovidae.